UAGGCAUGCUUGGGAACUAAAAGAAAGACAAAGGAAAGCUUAGUGGGCAUGAAGGUUAGAGAGCUGAGAAGAGGCCAAGGAAGCACUGGCCAUGGUCAUGAGUUUUCACUGUUUGAAGCACAACAGGAAACCACAGAAUGUUCUGCUGGAGCAGGACACAUUCGCAUCUGUGUUUCAGGUAGUGGUCUGGCUGCUGGUGUGGGGUGGCUGGAAGGUGGUGAAGGAGGCUUUCGGGAUAGCAACAACUAAGCUAGAGAUGACGGUUCAUUUCUGCUUUCUCUGUCUCCUGUAUUGGGGGUCGGAUGACAUUUGCAUCUAUCAUGCAGUGCUGUUGGAGACGCUCUAUGUGUUACGUGAUGGCACAGUGACUAAGGGAGCCAGGAUUGCCCAUGCCAGGGCGGGCACUCCCACACCUUGCCAGGAGCGCAUUCGGGUAAGGAUCAGGUGUCCCGGCUUUUCGCUCCUGUGCCUAUGCGGUUGCAUGGCUGUGCUCCCAGACACUGCCACUGUCACCACAGAGGUUCCACUCCAAGAACAGGGCUGUCUCAUCAAGGGUAAGUCUGUUGACUGACUUGCAUAUUGUGGUGCCUCAGCCUUUCUUACCUUCUGCUAGCAAGGUCCUAAGAAACUCUAAAGAAGAGAAAGACCACAGACUUUGGAGAUAGACGCGUCUCUAGCGUACUGUGUGAACACCUUGGGUGUAUCCUUCAGUCUUUAUGAGCCUAAUGUUCCUCCUGUUUGAGAGGAACUGUUCACCAUAUUUACCGCUCUUUUGUGAUGACCGUGGGGCCAAACUAUGGCAGUGAGUGUAAAGCAAGGCCUGUCACACUGCAGCCAUCUGAUAACCCUUAGUUUCCUUCCCCAUUUUAACCACGUAAUAACUCUCCUGCCUGAUGUCACCCAGGGGGCCCAGAGUUCUUCUGCGGUAAUGAGAUCAUCACCACAUCCUCAUAUUUCACAGCUUAUUUGGGGUAAUGUGGGCAUUUUACUUAUCUCUGCUAUUCCUUCCUUGCAGGGUCUGCAGAACUGAAUUUUAGUGCCAGGAGAGUACAGCUGAGCCUAUGCAGCACAACCUGAGACCCUCUGAGUGCAGUGUGCAGACUUCUGCAGCCUCGUAUUCCCAGCACAGUUGCGUAUCCCACAUCUCCCACAUCUGACUGAAUUACAGGAGGGCAGGACCUUCCUGCCAGGGAUGUCAGCCCUCUCUUCUCCCAGGCUCAGACCAUCAGCAGUGCUGAAUGUGGCUACAGUGAUUUGAUGCAAGCAGGGACUUGUAAAAAGCUUGCGAGUUGGACCUUGCUGUGUUGCUGCUUUGAUGCCCUGUAACUACCACCAGCAUCAUGAACCUUACUGGGUGCCGUCUUAAAACAUUACCCUGGGGAUGUUUACUUCACGUCAAGAUACCUGAGAUUAUCGUUGGAGACCACCAGGCUCACCUCAGGGUGUUUCUUCUCAGCAAGAUGGCAAUCUUAGUAAGCUUUGAAGGCCUAUCAUGGAACCAAUGAUAUGAGGAAAAUGACACGAAGCUAUGGAACCAGUCAUUAUGCAGCUCACGACAUGUUCAAAUGCAGAGGAUGCCAAGAAGAGGAUAACUGAGUCAAAUAGAACCACUAGUUUUAGCUUUUCGAGGAAUCUCAACAUUGAUUUCCACAUCAGUUGCACCAGUCUAUACUCCUACCAGCAGAGG
Fukomys damarensis (Damara mole-rat) is the source of this 1687-nucleotide long non-coding RNA. RefSeq lists it as uncharacterized. Lineage: Eukaryota; Metazoa; Chordata; Mammalia; Rodentia; Bathyergidae. The transcript has 6 exons. The record is from RefSeq and is a predicted model, not a curated record.